Molecule: ribosomal RNA, 756 nt
Filed under: uncultured Scopuloides
Lineage: Eukaryota; Fungi; Basidiomycota; Agaricomycetes; Polyporales; Meruliaceae
Description: partial 28S ribosomal RNA
Rfam family: Eukaryotic large subunit ribosomal RNA
Source: RNAcentral
GAAUCCCGUCUUUGACACGGACUACCAGUGCUUUGUGAUACGCUCUCAAAGAGUCGAGUUGUUUGGGAAUGCAGCUCAAAAUGGGUGGUAAAUUCCAUCUAAAGCUAAAUAUUGGCGAGAGACCGAUAGCGAACAAGUACCGUGAGGGAAAGAUGAAAAGCACUUUGGAAAGAGAGUUAAACAGUACGUGAAAUUGCUGAAAGGGAAGCGCUUGAAGUCAGUCGCGUUGUUCAGAACUCAACCUGGUUUUACUUGGUGCACUUUCUGAAUGACGGGCCAACAUCAGUUUUGACUGUCGGAUAAAAGCCUUGGGAAUGUGGCACCUCCGGGUGUGUUAUAGCCUUUGGUUGUAUACGAUGGUUGGGAUUGAGGAUCGCAGCACGCCUUUUGGCCGGGGUUCGCCCACGUACGUGCUUAGGAUGUUGGCGUAAUGGCUUUAAACAACCCGUCUUGAAACACGGACCAAGGAGUCUAACAUGCCUGCGAGUGUUUGGGUGGAAAACCCGAGCGCGCAAUGAAAGUGAAAGUUGGGAUCCCUGUCGUGGGGAGCACCGACGCCCAUACCAGACCUUCUGUGACGGAUAUGCGGUUGAGCAUGUAUGUUGGGACCCGAAAGAUGGUGAACUAUGCCUGAAUAGGGUGAAGCCAGAGGAAACUCUGGUGGAAGCUCGUAGCGAUUCUGACGUGCAAAUCGAUCGUCAAAUUUGGGUAUAGGGGCGAAAGACUAUUCGAACCAUCUAGUAGCUGGUUCCUGCC